Molecule: long non-coding RNA, 287 nt
Filed under: Numida meleagris (helmeted guineafowl)
Lineage: Eukaryota; Metazoa; Chordata; Aves; Galliformes; Numididae
Description: lncRNA (ENSNMEG00000018399.1)
Source: RNAcentral
CAGAAUAAAAAGAAUAAUCAAUUUCUUCAGCAACUAAGCCAACCACUCAGAUGUCAGCAACGUGAGCACAGUAUCUGAGCUAUGAACCCCCUGCUGCUUCCAGGUGGAGGUCCUUUGACGGACAUUAAGCUCCAGAGGGCUCAGCUAAUGUAAUACAAAAUGAAAUAACAUUGAGCUGCAAAGGUCUAGCUGUGCUAGGUGAAGAGAGGGAAGAAAUAGUUAUUGUUUUGAUAGUCUGCUCUGCUCGAACUUGCAUGAUUAAAACAAAAAAACUGGAAGCAGUGUGA